RNAcentral lists this long non-coding RNA (422 nucleotides) under Vigna radiata. Its description in RNAcentral is "long non-coding RNA (VRAD_LNC012880)". Lineage: Eukaryota; Viridiplantae; Streptophyta; Magnoliopsida; Fabales; Fabaceae. The record is from RNAcentral.
AAGAGAGAAAAUCAAGAAUCUCCUUCAAGUGAAAAAUUCUAUGGUUGUGGAGAAAGAGGACACAUGAAAACUGAAUGUCCAAAGAACAAGAAAAGUGAGGAAAAGAAGUAAAGAAAAUUUCAAAAGAAAAAGAAAGCUUACAUAGCUUGGGAGGACAAUGCUUCCAGCUCAACAAGCUCAAGUGAUUCAGAUGAGGAAGCUAAUAUUUGUCUAAUGGCUGACUCAGAAGAUACUGGAAGCCAAGUAAGUGAUUCUAGCUUUGAAUCUAGUGAAUUAGACUUGCAAAAGGCUUUCUUUUAAUUAAUGAAUGGGUCUGAAAAACUUGAUGUUGCACAUAAAAAGCUUAAGAAAGAGCACAAUGAAUUGAAAUUGAAAUAUGACAAAUUGCUUGAUGAUGAAGUUGUUUUAAGAAAUAAAAUUAG